AUUGAACGCUGGCGGCAUGCCUUACACAUGCAAGUCGAACGGUAACGCGGGGCAACCUGGCGACGAGUGGCGAACGGGUGAGUAAAGUAUCGGAACGUGCCCAAUAGUGGGGGAUAGCCCGGCGAAAGCCGGAUUAAUACCGCAUGAGACCUGAGGGUGAAAGCGGGGGACGUCGCAAGAGCCUCGCGCUGUUGGAGCGGCCGAUAUCAGAUUAGGUAGUUGGUGGGGUAAAGGCCUACCAAGCCGACGAUCUGUAGCUGGUCUGAGAGGACGACCAGCCACACUGGGACUGAGACACGGCCCAGACUCCUACGGGAGGCAGCAGUGGGGAAUUUUGGACAAUGGGCGGCAAGCCUGAUCCAGCCAUGCCGCGUGCGGGAAGAAGGCC
Molecule: ribosomal RNA, 388 nt
Filed under: uncultured bacterium
Lineage: Bacteria
Description: bacterial SSU rRNA
Rfam family: Bacterial small subunit ribosomal RNA
Source: RNAcentral